This 4460-nucleotide long non-coding RNA is filed under the name Cucumis sativus (cucumber). RNAcentral's name for it is "long non-coding RNA (CSAT_LNC000178)". The record is from RNAcentral. Lineage: Eukaryota; Viridiplantae; Streptophyta; Magnoliopsida; Cucurbitales; Cucurbitaceae.
CCAGACUCGGUUUCUUGGUUCCGUCCCAAAACGCCGAAGAAAGGCACAAUGGCCUAGAAAGGGAUAGUCGGACUUGGAACGGGGUCCGAGGCCUCGAAAGUCCACAUCUAGCUACUGGGUGGUCCGAUUCUGAGUGAUCUCGAACUUUCUUGUCCACAAAAGCCGAACGGUGACGCCCCAGACUCGGUUUCUUGGUUCCGUCCCAAAACGCCGAAGAAAGGCACAAUGGCCUAGAAAGGGACGGUCGGACUUGGAACGGGGUCCGAGGCCUCGAAAGUCCACAUCAAGCUACUGGGUGGUCCGAUUCUGAGUGAUCUCGAAGUUUCUAGCCACAAAAGCCGAACGGUGACGCCCCAGACUCGGUUUUUUGGUUCCGUCCCAAAACGCCGAAGAAAGGCACAAUGGCCUAGAAAGGGACGGUCGGACAUGGAACGGGGUCCGAGGCGUCGAAAGUCCACAUCUAGCUACUGGGUGGUCCGAUUCCGAGUGAUCUCGAAGUUUCUUGCCCACAAAAGCCGAACGGUGCGCCCCAGACUCGGUUUCUUGGUUCCGUCCCGAAACGCCGAAGAAAGGCACAAUGGCCUCGAAAGGGACGGUCGGACUUGGAACGGGGUCUGAGGCCUCGAAAGUCCACAUCUAGCUACUUGGUGGUCCGAUUCUGAGUGAUCUCGAAGUUUCUUGCCCAGAAAAGCCGAACGGUGUCGCCCUAGACUCGGUUUCUUGGUUCCGUCCCAAAACGCCGAAGAAAGGCACAAUGGCCCAGUAAGGGACGGUCGGACUAGGAACGGGGUCCGAGGCCUCGAAAGUCCACAUCUAGCUACUGGGUGGUCCGAUUCUGAGUGAUCUCGAAGUUUCUUGCCCACAAAAGCCGAACGGUGACGCCCCAGACUCGGUUUCUUGGUUUUGUCCCAUAACGCCGAAGAAAGGCACAGUGGCCUAGAAAGGGACGGUCGGACUUGGAACGGGGUCCUAGGCCUCGAAAGUCCACAUCUAGCUACUUGAUGGUCCGAUUCUGAGUGAUCUCGAAGUUUCUUGGCCACAAAAGCCGAACGGUGACGCCCCAGACUCGGUUUCUUGGUUCCGUACCAAAACGCCGAAGAAAGGCACAGUGGCCUAGAAAGGGACGGUCGGACUUGGAACGGGGUCCGAGGCCUCGAAAGUCCACAUCUAGCUACUGGGUGGUCCGAUUCUGAGUUAUCUCGAAGUUUCUUGCGCACAAAAACCAAACGGUGACGCCCCAGACUCGGUUUCUUGGUUCCUUCCGAAAACGCCGAAGAAAGACACAAUGGCCUAGAAAGGGACGGUCGGACUUGGAACGCAGUCCGGGGCCUCGAAAGUCCACAUCUAGCUACUGGGUGGUCCGAUUCUGAGUGAUCUCGAAGUUUCUUGCCCACAAAAGCCGAACGGUGUCGCCCCAGACUCGGUUUCUUGGUUCCGUCCCAAAACGUCGAAGAAAGGCACAUUGGCCUAGAAAGGGACGGUCGGACUUGGAACGGUGUCCGAGGCCUCGAAAGUCCACAUCUAGCUACUCCGUGGUCCGAUUCUGAGUGAUCUCGAAGUUUCUUGCCCACAAAAGGCGAACGGUGACGCCCCAGACUCGGUUUCUUGGUUCCGUCCAAAAACGCCGAAGAAAGGGACAAUGGCCUAGAAAGGGACGGUCGGACUUGGAACGCGGUCCGAGGCCUCGAAAGUCCACAUCUAACUACCGGGUGGUCCGAUUCUGAGUGAUCUCGAAGUUUCUUGCCCACAAAAGCUGAACGGUGACGCCCCAAACUCGGUUUCUUGGUUCCGUCCCAAAACGCCGAAGAAAGGCACAAUUUCCUAGAAAGGGACGAUCGGACUUGGAACGGGUCCGAGGCCUCGAAAGUCCACAUCUAGCUACUGGGUGGUCCGAUUCUGAGUGAUCUCGAAGUUUCUUGCCCACAAAAGCCGAACGGUGACGCCCCAGACUCGGUUUCUUGGUUCCGUCCCAAAACGCUGAAGAAAGGCACAAUGGCCUAGAAAGGGACGGUCGGACUUGGAACGAGGUCCGAGGCCUCGAAAGUACACAUGUAGCUACUGGGUGGUCUGAUUCUUAGUGACCUUGAAGUUUCUUAACCACAAAAGCCGAACGGUGACGCCCCAGACUCGGUUUCUUGGUUCCCUCCCAAAACGCCGAAGAAAGGCACAAUGGCCUAGAAAGGGACGGUCGGACUUGGAACGGGGUCCGAAGCCUCGAAAGUCCACAUGUAGCUACUGGGUGGUCCGAUUCUUUGUGAUCUCGAAGUUUCUUGACCACAAAAGCCGAACGGUGACGCCCAGACUCGGUUUCUUGGUUCCGUCCCAAAACGCCGAAGAAAAGCACAAUGGCCUAGAAAGGGACGGUCGGACUUGGAACGGGGUCCGAGGCCUCGAAAGUCCACAUCUAGCUACUGGGUGGUCUGAUUCUUUGUGAUCUCGAAGUUUCUUGCCCACAAAAGCCGAACGGUGACGCCCAGACUCGGUUUCUUAGUUCCGUCCCAAAACGCCGAAGAAAGGCACAAUUUCCUAGAAAGGGACGGUCGGACUUGGAACGGGGUCCGAGGCCUCGAAAGUCCAUAUCUAGCUACUGGGUGGUCCGAUUCUGAGUGAUCUCGAAGUUUCUUGCCCACAAAAGCCGAACGGUGACGCCCGAGACUCGGUUUCUUGGUUCCGUCCCAAAACGCCGAAGAAAAGCACAAUGGCCUAGAAAGGGACGGUCGGACUUGGAACGGGGUCCGAGGCCUCGAAAGUCCACAUCUAGCUACUGGGUGGUCUGAUUCUUUGUGAUCUCGAAGUUUCUUGCCCACAAAAGCCGAACGGUGACGCCCCAGACUCGGUUUCUUGGUUCCGUCCCAAAACGCCGAAGAAAGGCACAAUGGACUAGAAAGAGACGGUCGGACUUGGAACGGGGUCCGAGGCCUCAAAAGUCCACAUCUAGCUACUGGGUGGUCCGAUUCUUUGUGAUCUCGAAGUUUCUUGCCCACAAAAGCCGAACGGUGACGCCCCAGACUCGGUUUCUUGGUUCCGUCACAAAACGCCGAAGAAAGGCACAAUGGCCUAGAAAGGGACGGUCGGACUUGGAACGGGGUCCGAGGCCUCGAAAGUCCACAUCUAGCUACUGGGUGGUCCGAUUCUUUGUGAUCUCGAAGUUUCUUGCCCACAAAAGCCGAACGGUGACGCCCCAGACUCGGUUUCUUGGUUCCAUCCCAAAACGCGGAAGAAAGGCACAAUGGCCUAGAAAGGGACGGUCGGACUUGGAACGGGGUCCGUUGCCUCGAAAGUCCACAUCUAGCUACUGGGUGGUCCGAUUCUGAGUGAUCUCGAAGUUUCUUGCCCACAAAAGCCGAACGGUGACGCCUAGACUCGGUUUCUUGGUUUCGUCCCAAAACGCCGAAGAAAGGCACAGUGGCCUAGAAAGGGACGGUCGGACUUGGAACGGGGUCUGAGGCCUCGAAAGUCCACAUCUAGCUACUGGGUGGUCCGAUUCUUUGUGAUCUCGAAGUUUCUUGCCCACAAAAGCCGAACGGUGACGCCCAGACUCGGUUUCUUGGUUCCGUCCCAAAACGCCGAAAAAAGGCACAAUGGCCUAGAAAGGGACGGUCGGACUUGGAACGGGGUCCGAGGCCUCGAAAGUCCACAUCUAGCUACUGGUGGUCCGAUUCUUUGUGAUCUGGAAGUUUCUUGCCCACAAAAGCCGAACGGUGAUGCCCGAGACUCGGUUUCUUGGUUCCGUCCCAAAACGCCGAAGAAAGGCACAAUGGCCUAGAAAUGGACGGUCCGACUCGGAACGGGGUCCGAGGCCUCGAAAGUCCACAUCUAGCUACUGGGUGGUUCGAUUCAGAGUGAUCUCGAAGUUUCUUGCUCACAAAAGCCGAACGGUGACACCCCAGACUCGGUUUCUUGGUUCCGUCCCAAAACGCCGAAGAAAGGCACAAUGGCCUAGAAAGGGACGAUCGGACUUGGAACGGGGUCCGAGGCCUCGAUAGUCCACAUCUAGCUACUAGGUGGUCCGAUUCUUUGUGAUCUUGAAGUUUCUUGCCCACAAAAGCCGAACGGUGACGCCCCAGACUCGGUUUCUUGGUUUCGUCCCAAAACGCCGAAGAAAGGCACAAUGGCCUAGAAAGGGACGGUCGGACUUGGAACGGGGUCCGAGGCCUCGAAAGUCCACAUCUAGCUACUGGGUGGUCCGAUUCUUUGUGAUCUCGAAGUUUCUUGCACACAAAAGCCGAACGGUGACGCCCCAGACUCGGUUUCUUGGUUCCGUCCCAAAACGCCGAAGAAAGGCACAAUGGCCUAGAAAGGGACGGUCGGACUCGGAACGGGGUCCGAGGCCUCGAAAGUCCACAUCUAGCGACUGGGUGGUCCGAUUCAGAGUGAUCUCGAAGUUUCUUGCCCACAAAAGCCAAACGGUGACUCCCCAGACUCGGUUUCUUGGUUCCGUCCCAAAACGCCGAAGAAAG